ACGAACGCUGGCGGCGUGCUUAACACAUGCAAGUCGAACGGUAAGGCCCCUUCGGGGGUACACGAGUGGCGAACGGGUGAGUAACACGUGGGUAAUCUGCCCUGCACUUCGGGAUAAGCCUGGGAAACCGGGUCUAAUACCGGAUAUGAGCUCCUGCCGCAUGGUGGGGGUUGGAAAGUUUUUCGGUGCAGGAUGAGUCCGCGGCCUAUCAGCUUGUUGGUGGGGUAAUGGCCUACCAAGGCGACGACGGGUAGCCGGCCUGAGAGGGUGAUCGGCCACACUGGGACUGAGACACGGCCCAGACUCGUACGGGAGGCAGCAGUGGGGAAUAUUGCACAAUGGGCGGAAGCCUGAUGCAGCGACGCCGCGUGGGGGAUGACGGUCUUCGGAUUGUAAACUCCUUUCAGUAGGGACGAAGCGAGAGUGACGGUACCUGCAGAAGAAGCACCGGCCAACUACGU
Molecule: ribosomal RNA, 461 nt
Filed under: uncultured bacterium
Lineage: Bacteria
Description: bacterial SSU rRNA
Rfam family: Bacterial small subunit ribosomal RNA
Source: RNAcentral